GUGAAUCAUCGAAUUUUUGAACGCAAAUUGCGCUUCCUGGUAUCCCGGGAAGUAUGCCUGUUUGAGGGUCAGUAUUAACAAAAAAUCGGUUUGGUUGCAAAUUGUGAGGUUUCCGGAGGUUGGGCUUAUCUUAACUUUUUUGGUUAAGGGGCUUAAAAUUGACUUUUUUUGCGCAUUUUUAGACUAUAAUAAGUUUUUCUUUAUUCGUCUAUUCUUAUUGCCAUAA
This 226-nucleotide unclassified non-coding RNA is filed under the name Glomeraceae sp. Its description in RNAcentral is "partial contains 5.8S ribosomal RNA and internal transcribed spacer 2". The stretch from base 1 to 71 matches the Rfam family "5.8S ribosomal RNA", at positions 84 to 154 of the family's 154-position model. Lineage: Eukaryota; Fungi; Glomeromycota; Glomeromycetes; Glomerales; Glomeraceae. The record is from RNAcentral.